Molecule: ribosomal RNA, 450 nt
Filed under: uncultured Glomus
Lineage: Eukaryota; Fungi; Glomeromycota; Glomeromycetes; Glomerales; Glomeraceae
Description: SSU rRNA
Rfam family: Eukaryotic small subunit ribosomal RNA
Source: RNAcentral
AGCAGCCGCGGUAAUUCCAGCUCCAAUAGCGUAUAUUAAAGUUGUUGCAGUUAAAAAGCUCGUAGUUGAAUUUCGGGGUUAGUAGGUUGGUCGUGCCUCAGGUAUGUACUGAUCUCACUGAUUCCUCCUUCCUGAUGAACCGUAAUGCCAUUAAUUUGGUGUUGCGGGGAAACUGGACUGUUACUUUGAAAAAUUAGAGUGUUUAAAGCAGGCUAACGCUUGAAUACAUUAGCAUGGAAUAAUGAAAUAGGACGUUCGAUCCUAUUUUGUUGGUUUCUAGGAUUGACGUAAUGAUUAAUAGGGAUAGUUGGGGGCAUUAGUAUUCAAUUGUCAGAGGUGAAAUUCUUGGAUUUAUUGAAGACUAACUACUGCGAAAGCAUUUGCCAAGGAUGUUUUCAUUAAUCAAGAACGAAAGUUAGGGGAUCGAAGACGAUCAGAUACCGUCGUAGU